Arthromyces matolae is the source of this 103-nucleotide non-coding RNA. The record is from the annotation of a GenBank genome assembly. Lineage: Eukaryota; Fungi; Basidiomycota; Agaricomycetes; Agaricales; Lyophyllaceae.
GCUUCGCUAGUACAUUGGUAGGAAGUACACGCGCUUGCCAUAUCAUGUAGCGAUUCCCACCAGAUAUGUGCAAGCUAGCUGGGUUCAACUCCCGGGUGAAGUU